CAGAACAGUACUGUGGAUGCUCACCUGGGCUUUGAAGUGACUUUACUCUACUAAUGCUUUGUUGACAUUAUUAUUUUGGAUUGGCUUCUGGAACAGAUCUGGCCAGCAGGCGCAGGUUCACUACAGUGCAUAAUGUGGAUUUUUCCUGAGGUCUGUGGAACAGCAAUGCCUUGAGAGUUAGGGCAGUGAAGAAGCCAGAAGAUCUGAAGAGUUGGACAGAACAGAACUUUGGAGUGGAACUUUUGAAGGCAAUAUCAUCAAGAAGAAGGACAGAUGAUGUACAUCCAGGAUUUGGCACAUUUCACCUUACAAGUACUACCUUUAUUCAGGCGGCAUUAUUACUUUAAACCACAUAUGGAUCAGGGUGAGGAAUUAAACUUGCAGCUUAUUUUAAGUCUGCUUCUGCUUCAUGUUGAUCAGCCAAUAAGAGGGAAGUUCUGGUAGAAAAAAGAGUGGCCAUGACUGAUUUUGUGUGUAUCCUUCCGGGGAAGAUGGUUAGAAGACAACUGACCACUAGCUGGAGGACUUAAUUCAGCUAGUAUUGAUUUGGAGCUGAAGAGGUAGGUUUUCACCCUGGUAAAGACUGUGGUGUAUCAU
This is a long non-coding RNA of Motacilla alba alba, 597 nucleotides long. RefSeq lists it as uncharacterized. The transcript is spliced from 3 exons. The record is from RefSeq and is a predicted model, not a curated record. Lineage: Eukaryota; Metazoa; Chordata; Aves; Passeriformes; Motacillidae.